GACGAACGCUGGCGGCGUGCCUAAUACAUGCAAGUAGAACGCUGAAGAGAGGAGCUUGCUCUUCUUGGAUGAGUUGCGAACGGGUGAGUAACGCGUAGGUAACCUGCCUUGUAGCGGGGGAUAACUAUUGGAAACGAUAGCUAAUACCGCAUAACAAUGGAUGACACAUGUCAUUUAUUUGAAAGGGGCAAUUGCUCCACUACAAGAUGGACCUGCGUUGUAUUAGCUAGUAGGUGAGGUAAUGGCUCACCUAGGCGACGAUACAUAGCCGACCUGAGAGGGUGAUCGGCCACACUGGGACUGAGACACGGCCCAGACUCCUACGGGAGGCAGCAGUAGGGAAUCUUCGGCAAUGGGGGCAAACCUGACCGAGCAACGCCGCGUGAGUGAAGAAGGUUUUCGGAUCGUAAAGCUCUGUUGUAAGUCAAGAACGGGUGUGAGAGUGGAAAGUUCACACUGUGACGGUAGCUUACCAGAAAGGGACGGCUAACUACGUG
RNAcentral lists this ribosomal RNA (497 nucleotides) under uncultured bacterium. Its description in RNAcentral is "partial 16S ribosomal RNA". It matches the Rfam family "Bacterial small subunit ribosomal RNA", at positions 28 to 507 of the family's 1533-position model. The record is from RNAcentral.